Long non-coding RNA from Lacerta agilis (Sand lizard), 487 nucleotides. RefSeq lists it as uncharacterized. The record is from RefSeq and is a predicted model, not a curated record. Lineage: Eukaryota; Metazoa; Chordata; Lepidosauria; Squamata; Lacertidae. The transcript is spliced from 5 exons.
AGUUGCGGAGUCAGGGGUUCUACAGAGAGGGUCAAAAAGCCGAGUCAUAAGAAAAGGGGGCAGAAGCCCAAGGCUGAAGAUACUUUUAAAGGGCUGGCCAUCUACUUCCCUAAAGAGCAAUGGGCUGAAAUGGGAGAAUGGGAAAAAAUUCGUUAUAAGAAUAUGAAAGAAAACUAUGAGUUUAUGACUCAAUUAGGUCUUCCUACACCUAAACCAACAUUUAUGUAUCAUGCACGGCAACCUCCCAAAACUACAAAUGAGUCCUCUGAGUCCGAUGAGGAAUGGACACCAAAAUCUAUAGUAAAAUCUUUUAGAACACCAUGUAACCUGAGUAGCUGGAAAGAGGAAAAGCAAAAAAAGUACCCUCUUGAUCAAAAUAAGCAAAUAAACACUAUGGGGCUUACUUCCAAAGACCAUGAACAUAUAAAGAAAACUGACAAAAAUACACAUGCAGAUGUUCAUACUACAGACAUUGCAGCAGAAUCAA